GGAAUGAAGCGCCAUGGAGGGUGAGAGCCCCGUCCAUCCCGCACAGGAUCCAUUCGUACAAGGACGCUUCAACCGAGUCGGGUAGCUUGGGAAUGCUGCUCUAAUUGGUGGUAAAUCUCAUCAAAGGCUAAAUAGUGGUGGGAGACCGAUAGCGAACAAGUACCGUGAGGGAAAGAUGGAAAGAACUUUGAAAAGAGAGUGAAAAGCACUUGAAACCGUCACGGGGGAAGCGGAUUGCGUGAGUGAUGGUGUCGCUUGUUCAGCGCUUUAUUGCGUGCAUUCUGGCGGCGCCGUGCCGGCGUGGCUGGCUGGACUGUGAUUUUGACAGUCUCGGCUGGUGAGGGCUCCCUCGUAUGAGGUGAGGACGCGGGCAAAAUGACGCAAUACGACCCGUCUUGAAACACGGACCAAGGAGUCUAGCACGGCUGCGAGUCGAAGAGUGAUUAAACUCAAGGGCGCAGUGAAAGCGAAAUUAUAAGCAAAUUGGGGAGGCGUUGCGUUUUUAACAAAAUGUCCUACCUCGAGCAUUUGUGCUGGGACCCGAAAGAUGGUGAACUAUGCCGGAGUAGGGCAAAGCCAGAGGAAACUCUGGUGGAGGCUCGUAGCGAUGCUGACGUGCAAAUCGCUCGUCGAACUUGGGUAUAGGGGCGAAAGACUAAUCGAACCAUCUAGUAGCUGGUUCCCUCCGAAGUUUCUCUCAGGAUAGCGGGCCGACACGCGUUUGUUGUUUUGUGCGGUAAAGCGAAUGAUUAGUGCAUUUGGGGUACGAAGUACUUCGGGCGAUUCUCAAACUUUAAAUGCGCAAGGGGGUGGCUGCUUAAUUGAGCCUACUCUUUGAAAAACGUCGGCCCUGUGGGCCACUUUUGGUAAGCAGAACUGGCGAUAAGGGAUGAACCUUAAGCGCGGUUAAGGCGCCUCAUUACCCGCUUAU
RNAcentral lists this ribosomal RNA (931 nucleotides) under Palmaria palmata (dulse). Its description in RNAcentral is "eukaryotic LSU rRNA". It matches the Rfam family "Eukaryotic large subunit ribosomal RNA", at positions 192 to 1204 of the family's 3401-position model. The record is from RNAcentral. Lineage: Eukaryota; Rhodophyta; Florideophyceae; Palmariales; Palmariaceae.